Molecule: ribosomal RNA, 751 nt
Filed under: uncultured Glomus
Lineage: Eukaryota; Fungi; Glomeromycota; Glomeromycetes; Glomerales; Glomeraceae
Description: SSU rRNA
Rfam family: Eukaryotic small subunit ribosomal RNA
Source: RNAcentral
GCCUACCAUGGUGGUAACGGGUAACGGGGUGUUAGGGCACGACACCGGAGAGGGAGCCUGAGAAACGGCUACCACAUCCAAGGAAGGCAGCAGGCGCGCAAAUUACCCAAUCCCGACACGGGGAGGUAGUGACAAUAAAUAACAAUACAGGGUUCUUUUGGAUCUUGUAAUUGGAAUGAGUACAAUUUAAAUCUCUUAACGAGGAACAAUUGGAGGGCAAGUCUGGUGCCAGCAGCCGCGGUAAUUCCAGCUCCAAUAGCGUAUAUUAAAGUUGUUGCAGUUAAAGAGCUCGUAGUUGAAUUUCGGGAUCAAGGAAUCGGUCAUGCCUUGGUAUGUACUGGUUUUAUUGGUUCUCACCUUCUAAAGAACCAUAAUGUCAUUCAUUUGAUGUUAUGGGGAAUUAGGACUGUUACCUUGAAAAAAUUAGAGUGUUUAAAGCAGGCUUACGCUUGAAUACAUUAGCAUGGAAUAAUGAAAUAGGACAUCAGAUUCUAUUUUGUUGGUUUCUAGGAUCGAUGUAAUGAUUAAUAGGGAUAGUUGGGGGCAUUAGUAUUCAAUUGUCAGAGGUGAAAUUCUUGGAUUUAUUGAAGACUAACUACUGCGAAAGCAUUUGCCAAGGAUGUUUUCAUUAAUCAAGAACGAAAGUUAGGGGAUCGAAGACGAUCAGAUACCGUCGUAGUCUUAACCAUAAACUAUGCCGACUAGGGAUCGGAUGAUGUUAAUUUUAUAAUGACUCAUUCGGCACCUUACG